UGCCUGGGUAUCUGGCCCGUGCGU
RNAcentral lists this microRNA (24 nucleotides) under Macaca mulatta (Rhesus monkey). RNAcentral describes it as "mml-miR-661". Its record names the gene mml-miR-661. The record is from miRBase by way of RNAcentral. Lineage: Eukaryota; Metazoa; Chordata; Mammalia; Primates; Cercopithecidae.